UUCACCAUGCCACUGGAUUGAGAGAAGCCAUGGUCGCCGGGGAACAGUGCGAACCAGGAUGAGGGAUCGUGGUGCGUCCAUAUCUUCAGCGAGGCGUUAGAGAAAGUCUCGUGGCACGCCAGAAUGCAUGGUUGGUGUCUUCAUCCUCUACGGACGGGGGCAGUGGGUGAUGUGGCGGGUGGCGGAAGUGAAGCUUGCCACCACAGACUCGUGCUGUGUUCGGUAGCCUAGGUGCUACGCAACUCGACUCUCGGUAUGUGAGCCCCUGCUAAGUUCACCUUACCGUCCUCUAUGCGUAGCUCUGGUCAAAGCCGGGUUUCAUUUGCGGGCGCGUUAGGUGGCGUUUCUUCGGCGGGUCAUGGCCGCGGUGGGUGUGGGCGCUGUCGUGCCCAGUCUGCCAAAGGUAGGAGAUAGAGUUCGGAUCGUUGAUUGGCCAACGAACGACCAAGAUUGGGUCGGUUCUUGACGCUUUGAUCUGGGAGUUCAUCACCGUCCGUUUAGAUUGGACGGGCGAUACUGGAUUAGCCCUCGUAAAAUCUCCACCGUAGAUAUUUGAUCGGAUGGGUCGUGCUAAAGAGUUAUUCGAUUAAAUAACAAUCUAAUCUAUGCCGUCCGUGGGCGAUCCAACGGAUAUCUUUGGUCCAUACCCCUUCGCCUUGGCUGGAUUGCUAAAGAGACCCCGUGGUACUUACAAAUUAACCCGCCGUCCGCGCACCGUGUUCAAUAAUUACGACCAGGCCCUGUAUUUUUACAGACCGAACCCCAAGUUUCCUAAUAAUAUUGCGCGCAGUCUAGGGGAAUGGAAAAUUAGAGAAAAUGAUUUAUAAAAUGAAUUACUUUAUAUAAAAACAAUUCUAGAAUCUUAUUUAAUCUUUAGAAAAUUCAUAUUUUGUCUAAAUUGACCCAUUCCAGUUCCUAUAAUUUUGUUUUAAUAUUGUUUAUCAUUUAGUACCACUAUUUUAACAUGAAACCCAUAUUAAAUUGGAUCACCUAAUUAAUUUUGUAUCAAGCACAUACAGACUUCAGAAAAUCAUAACUAAUUUAUCUUAGCCCUAUUUCAACCCGUUCAAGUUGUGUUAGCCUCGUAUCAAUAUUUACUACGCAGUAGCAUUAUUGAUUAUAUGAUGUCCCAUACUUUUAUAAUUAAGUAACUAAUCAGAUCAAUCUAUGUUUAUUGGAUUAACUUUUCUACAUAUUAAUAUAAUAUUCUGAUCUUAUGAUUAUAAGUUUAUUAAAAUGUAAUCUUUAGUAAAGUUAUGAUUAAAAUUAAAGAUGAAUUGAUUAUUUCAUUAGCUUAUCUUUAUAAAAUCAACUCAAGAUCUAGUUUUAAUUGCUUCAUCACAUAGAUCUCCCGUAAAUCACAACUCAGUAACCGUAACUCUUAUCUUAGUGAUUCUCGUUCCCACGAUCUCGUAGCAACACGUAGAUCAUUAUUAUUCAGUUUAUACUUAUGUUUGGUGUGAUGUUAAUUUUAUCUAUACCAUGUUUGUUUGUAUUGCUACGACUAGUGUGAGGUCAUGAGGAUCUAAAGAAUCAUUCUAGUACCUGGAUUCUCAAGUACCAGGAAAGUUGUGCCCUUGAUCUAGUUUUGUUACCCAAUAAUAUUCUUUAUUAUCACUAUUCAAUGCAUAGGUUUAAUUUUGAUGGGACCCAAUAGGUCACCCUAGUCUGUUUAUCAUUUUCCCUUGUUUACCCCUGAAUCAAUUGGGUAGUUAUGUUAUUGCUUUACAUCGUUUUAGGAUAAUAUUUCAUUAUAUCCAUGUUCCAAUUAUUUUGUCAUUCUAUUUAUGUUCAUGUCAAGAUCAUUAAUGUUAAUUGGAACAUGGAGCUUAACUUGAUAAACAUGUGCCACCACAAGGGUGGAAUGGGACGCCCUUGGCUAACUAAUUAGGAAAGCUAGUGCAAGACUACCUUACCCAAAAGGGGCAAGGACAGUAGGGGAGUUGCAUGCAAGGAGGUUCUCGGGUUGAUUUUGCUGCGAUGGCGGUCAGACGAGGGAUUCUUGCAAGUGCUCUUCCCAUAAACUGUAGCGAGUUUUCGGAACCUGGUAGAACUUUGUAAAGGCCUCGUAUUGGAUCCCUAGCCAUUGACCUCGGUAGUGUCUAAGGGCCUUGCAAACCCUGGCGACAUGGGAUACACGACUUGUGGGUAUAGGGUACAACCUCUGCAGAGUGUAAAACUGGUAUACUAGCCGAGCUCACGGUCAAGAGCAGCUCAGGACUCUCGCAUGAUUAAAUUAUGGAACCUAAACUCAAUUUGUCAUAUGCAUUGCAUGGGAUUUGUUAUUAAUUUUGUUCUACUAUUUUAUUAUGGUUUGGUAUUCACUUACAUUUAGUAACUGCUAAUAAAAUUUUGACCAACUUAUUAAAAGCAAUGCUCAGCUUUAACCCCUGUUGUUGUUCAGCUUUACACGUCACUUGAACUCCCACCUUUGGUGAGUUCAUGCCACAUUAUUCCCCACAACUUGUUGAGCGAUGAACAUGUGUGAGCUCACCCUUGCUGUCUCACACCCCCCAUAGGAGAAGAACAGGUGGUUCAUGAGGAGCCACAACGAGGAGUUCGAUUCGAUCUAGGUGGCGUCUCCUAGUUGACUUUAUGGCGCCAAGGACGAU
Molecule: long non-coding RNA, 2612 nt
Filed under: Zea mays
Lineage: Eukaryota; Viridiplantae; Streptophyta; Magnoliopsida; Poales; Poaceae
Description: long non-coding RNA (ZMAY_LNC002392)
Source: RNAcentral